Molecule: transfer RNA, 71 nt
Filed under: Marmota monax (woodchuck)
Lineage: Eukaryota; Metazoa; Chordata; Mammalia; Rodentia; Sciuridae
Description: tRNA.Ala
Source: RNAcentral
GAGGUUGUGGCUCAGCGGUAGAGUGCUUGCCUAGCAUGUGCAAAGCCCUGGGUUCGAUCCUCAGCACCACA